Molecule: long non-coding RNA, 427 nt
Organism: Mus musculus (house mouse)
Lineage: Eukaryota; Metazoa; Chordata; Mammalia; Rodentia; Muridae
Product: predicted gene, 41339
Exons: 3
Source: RefSeq, a predicted model, not a curated record
CGUCAGCGCGUUGCCGCUGGGAGGCUCCGCCCCCAAGCGCUAAGCUCGGCCCCCAAGCGGUGACUGCUUGGCUUGGCCCUUACCUGCAGAGUGGGCAGCAGGAAGGCUGGCUGUUUUAACUCCAAGGUCACUUUAGGACUGUGAGGAUGCCUCCAUUGGAACUGGGUUCCACCACUCUGCAUGUUGAUUGGUUUCCUGUGGUGGUCACCGUGGAGGAGGACCUUCCUUCAUGAGUGGUGAAUACCAUACAUACUUUUUCCUGGUGUUGGAUAUCAAAGCUGUGAGCUUUGGAGAAGUCUGCGUGUCUGUAUAGUGGUUUUUGUAACUGUAUAUUAACCAUCCUUUCAUCCCUACCAUUGACUUAACAGUUAUUCUUAUAAGUAGGACAAGAGGUGGCUUAAUUUUUAUAUACAUUUAUAUUCCUAAU